GAAUCAAACGCUGGCGGCGUGCCUAACACAUGCAAGUCGAACGCGAGAGGGGGCUUCGGCCCCGAUUGAGUGGCGAACGGGUGAGUAACGCGUGGGUGACCUACCUUCGAGUGGGGGAUAACGUCCCGAAAGGGACGCUAAUACCGCAUAGCAUCCUGCUUUUGAAUGGGUGGAGAUCAAAGCCGGGGAUCGCAAGACCUGGCGCUUGAUGAGGGGCCCGCGUCUGAUUAGCUAGUGGUGAGGUAACGGCCCACCAAGGCAACGAUCAGUAUCCGGCCUGAGGAGGGCGGACGGACACACUGGGACUGAGACACGGCCCAGACUCCUACGGGAGGCAGCAGUGGGGAAUUGUUCGCAAUGGGCGCAAGCCUGACGACGCAACGCC
This 385-nucleotide ribosomal RNA is filed under the name uncultured bacterium. Its description in RNAcentral is "bacterial SSU rRNA". It matches the Rfam family "Bacterial small subunit ribosomal RNA", at positions 29 to 398 of the family's 1533-position model. The record is from RNAcentral.